Molecule: ribosomal RNA, 497 nt
Filed under: uncultured bacterium
Lineage: Bacteria
Description: partial 16S ribosomal RNA
Rfam family: Bacterial small subunit ribosomal RNA
Source: RNAcentral
GACGAACGCUGGCGGCGUGCCUAAUACAUGCAAGUUGAGCGCUUAAGGUUGGUACUUGUCCCAACUGGAUGAGCAGCGAACGGGUGAGUAACGCGUGGGGAAUCUGCCUUUGAGCGGGGGACAACAUUUGGAAACGAAUGCUAAUACCGCAUAAAAACUUUAAACACAAGUUUUAAGUUUGAAAGAUGCAAUUGCAUCACUCAAAGAUGAUCCCGCGUUGUAUUAGCUAGUUGGUGAGGUAAAGGCUCACCAAGGCGAUGAUACAUAGCCGACCUGAGAGGGUGAUCGGCCACAUUGGGACUGAGACACGGCCCAAACUCCUACGGGAGGCAGCAGUAGGGAAUCUUCGGCAAUGGACGAAAGUCUGACCGAGCAACGCCGCGUGAGUGAAGAAGGUUUUCGGAUCGUAAAACUCGGUUGGUAGAGAAGAACGUUGGUGAGAGUGGAAAGCUCAUCAAGUGACGGUAACUACCCAGAAAGGGACGGCUAACUACGUG